UAAAAUUUCUAUUAUUAGUUAACCUUUUGAACGCGUGCAAUUUAGUCAGUUAUAUUAUGGAAAUAAGUGCAAGCAAUUGGUGUGAUAAAGCUGCAGUGAAACCACUUUAAUUGGAACUUACAUAUAUUAUAUAAUGUCUUCCAGAGAAAAGUGUAAGAAGUUUUAGUAGUCGUUUUAUACAACGUUAUAAAAAUACAAUAUGUCGAUUAACAGAACACAACGGACACAAAGCAAAUACCUAUAUUUCAGAAAACAAAUUGAAGCAGUUAUCCAAACAUGUCUGAUGUUUACUUAUGUAGGUUCCUAGCUUUUCUUUAGUUAAAGAGUGCGAAAGCUUGUCUUCACAACGUUUAGAAUCCGAAUCAUGUAAAUUAAAAAAUGCUCAUUUCGUAUACAAAAGUGGUUCAGCCGUCUUUAUAAAAAUGCGGUUUUUAAAAUAUCGACAACGCUUUGCACAUUCAGCCAAUCCACAAUUCGAUAGAGACCAGGAGUGAACCUUGUAGAAUUAUUUUAUGACAUCAUAUUUACUUUGUGUAUUAUAAAUGGAUUCAAAUUCAAUGGAGCUCAUCGAUUUCAAAAUAUGUAUGUAUAUUCGCAUGCCUUCAUUAUUUUUAAUUAUGUGAGUUUAAAUUUUUCUUAGAACAAAAGACAUUCAUUGAUUCAGGGUUUAAAUAAUUUUUACUUAAAGUUAAGCUCUUAACAAUAUUAAUUCAAAGUAUUAGUAUGCAUAUUAAUUUAAAAUUAAUAAUUAUGGCUAUUUAAAAACAAUUUUUGGCUUACAGCGAUUACAGAAGUUAUGUUAUCUUAUAAGUAAACUUAAUUAAUGUUUUUCUUUCGUUUUUAUAUAAAUAUAUAAUACUAUUAUAUCUUUAAAUAUUUGCAUUAGGAUUCUUCUGGUUCGGUUUUAAUUGUUAUUAAAGCAUUGAAUAAUACACGCAUUGCUUUAGCUUGUUUCGCUUGACUCAUUUCCAAUAUAAUUGCAGCAACUGUUUGACCAAAUAAAUUUAUGGAAUCGUUAGUUUUUACCGUCGUCAUGUUUUCUCUGCAAGUUUCUGGUGAACGAAAGAACUUUUCCUCAUUACCAUUUGGUACUAUCAUCUUUUCUCUACAAUCUUCAAUCGUUCGUGCAAAUAGCUCAUUAUCCGGAGGCAUCGACAUUGUAUCUAUAAAAAAUUCCUUUUUGCAUACUAAGGUUGGAGAGUUACAUGCUUCUGAAACCUCACUAUCGUCUGCGCAGACCCGUUUCCGUCUCUUCCUAUUUAUUGCAACAAUAGCUGGAUCCCUAUAAGAAUCCUUUGAGUCACGGGUACUGUAAUAUGACUUGAAUUAUUAAAAGCACAAUUCAUAUGUUUAACUGUAAACUUACUGUCGUGGCUUAACAGAAUCUUUUAAAAACGAUAGCGAAUUAAAUAAAGGCCACUGAACACAUGAACUUGCAUCAUCAUUGCUUUCAGAAAGCAUUUCCGCUUGCUUUAGUUCUCUAGAAUAACGUUCUCGUAAGCCUCUCCACCUGCUAGAACAUGCUUCGGCUAAAAAUCGUGUAAAUUUAUUUUAUGCUAAAAUAACGGAAGUUUAUUUACUAACCAGUUAUACCCAUCUGUUCUGAGAUUUCAAACCAGGCUUCUGUCUUUUGACUAGAAUAUCUAAGUCCUAAACAGUUUUUCUGGUAAAGUACAUUAUGAGCACGUACCAGUUGGAUUAACAACUCGUCGUUCACUGAAAAAUAAUGCAGAAAUUUACAAAUUGAUCAAUUAAUUGGUUAUUAUACCCUGAACAAGGUAUAUAUAAAUAUUUAGUUGAUUUAUAGAGGGUAUUAUAGUUUCGGUGUUUACUUAAUUUUUUCUUGUUGAUAUUUAUACUUUGAGACAUUCCAAGUGACAUAUGUAUAUACUUACCUUCAUUUGAUG
Bactrocera oleae (olive fruit fly) is the source of this 1907-nucleotide non-coding RNA. Lineage: Eukaryota; Metazoa; Arthropoda; Insecta; Diptera; Tephritidae. The record is from RefSeq and is a predicted model, not a curated record.